RNAcentral lists this transfer RNA (64 nucleotides) under Eisenia nordenskioldi nordenskioldi. RNAcentral describes it as "tRNA-Ser". The record is from RNAcentral. Lineage: Eukaryota; Metazoa; Annelida; Clitellata; Crassiclitellata; Lumbricidae.
AGGUUAGCCGGGACAUGUAAGAACUUCUAAUUCAUAUAAGGGGGUUCAACUCCUCCAUAAUCUU